This 246-nucleotide signal recognition particle RNA is filed under the name Bacillota bacterium. Its description in RNAcentral is "partial signal recognition particle sRNA large type". It matches the Rfam family "Bacterial large signal recognition particle RNA". From Rfam's summary of the family: The signal recognition particle (SRP) is a universally conserved ribonucleoprotein involved in the co-translational targeting of proteins to membranes. Archaeal SRP consists of a 7S RNA and homologues of the eukaryotic SRP19 and SRP54 proteins. Lineage: Bacteria; Bacillati; Bacillota. The record is from RNAcentral.
AGCGGUGCUCUGUAACCUGCAAUCCGCUAUAGCAGGGUUGAAGCCUAUCCGAGGGCGGGCCUUUUUAGGGUCUGGCCGCCACGGGCAGCGUUGAAGGCCGGGGCCUGCGCAAUGGGAAUCCGUGAACCCCGUCAGAUCCGGGAGGAAGCAGCGGUAAGCGGGCCUUCUCAUGUGCCGCAGGGGUUCCUGGUUGGAGCCAGCCAUGCCGGUAUCGCCUGGGGAGGCCGUUCGAAGAUAGGUGCACGG